This 622-nucleotide long non-coding RNA is filed under the name Olea europaea (common olive). RNAcentral describes it as "long non-coding RNA (OEUR_LNC010105)". Lineage: Eukaryota; Viridiplantae; Streptophyta; Magnoliopsida; Lamiales; Oleaceae. The record is from RNAcentral.
CAGUGCUUCUUGCAAAAGAAAAGACGAAUCCCAAAAAAAAUACAAGCAUUCCUGCUCUUAAUCCAGUAAUUGAAAUCAACUUAAAACACAACAAAGUGCUCGUCGUCGAAGGUAACCGAAGUUCUGAAGAAAUUACCGGAAUGUGCCGAAGUCCCAGUCCUUCAGAAAAACCUUGAGUCUGCAGUCACAAGUGCUCGCCAUCGAAGGUAAGCCCAGAUCGAUUUUGUAGAACGGGUGGAGACACGGGCGAGUUGUUCUGUCAAAUUCGAGAAAUGUAUGGAUUUUAGAUCGAACUCCUUUCGUACAAAAAGAGGAUAACAAAGGAUAAACGCCCUUACAAUAGUUCGUACUUGUCGUGCUGUUGGUAGUUAGUAGUCUACUUGCUCGCCGUUGACGGUCCGACCAGUUCAAUCGUGUGGAGAAUGGUGCGAAUCGCCUGAUUUGUUCUCUUCAAAUGGUGAGAAAAGGGUUCCAUUCAAGUGGGCAAGUGGUUUUGUCGGUGCAGUUCUACUUGCUCGCCGUCAACGGUCCGAAUCAUCUCCGAAUCGCCUGAUUUUUUCUCUUCAAAUUAUUGUGGUGUGAAAUGGGUCAGGCAAGUGGUUUUGUCGGUGCAGUUGGUAAG